GCCGGGCACGGUGGCGCGUGCCUGUAGUCCCAGCUACUCGAGAGGCUGAGGUGGGAGGAUCGCUUGAGCCCAGGAGUUCUGGGCUGUAGCGCGUUAUGCCUGUUGGGUGUCCACACCAAGUUAGGCAUCAAUAUGGUGACAUCCCGGGAGUGGGGACCACCAGGUUGCCUAAGGAGGGGUGAACCGGCCCAGGUUGGAAACGGAGCAGGUCAAAACUCCCAUGCUGAUCAGUAGUGGGAUCGCGCCUGUGAACAGCCACUGCACUCCAGCCUGAGCAACAUAGGGAGACCCCGUCUCU
RNAcentral lists this signal recognition particle RNA (298 nucleotides) under Cebus imitator (Panamanian white-faced capuchin). Its description in RNAcentral is "Metazoan signal recognition particle RNA (ENSCCAG00000006409.1)". It matches the Rfam family "Metazoan signal recognition particle RNA". Rfam says of the family: The signal recognition particle (SRP) is a universally conserved ribonucleoprotein. Lineage: Eukaryota; Metazoa; Chordata; Mammalia; Primates; Cebidae. The record is from RNAcentral.